RNAcentral lists this ribosomal RNA (458 nucleotides) under uncultured bacterium. RNAcentral's name for it is "partial 16S ribosomal RNA". It matches the Rfam family "Bacterial small subunit ribosomal RNA", at positions 29 to 507 of the family's 1533-position model. The record is from RNAcentral.
AAUGAACGCUGGCGGCAUGCCUAACACAUGCAAGUCGAACGAGACCUUCGGGUCUCGUGGUGCUCGGGUGCGUAACGCGUGGGAACCUGCCCUUAGGUUCGGAAUAACUCCCCGAAAGGGGUGCAAAUACCGGAUAAUGUCCUCGGACCAAAGAUCUAUCGCCUUUGAAUGGGCGCGCAUUUGAUUAGCUUGUUGGUAGGGUAAAGGCCUACCAAGGCGAGGAUGGGUAGAUGGACCGAGAGGAUGAUCAGCCAAACUGGGACUGAGAGACGGUCCAGACUCCUAGGGGAGGCAGCAGGCGGGAACUUUGCACGAUGGGCGCAAGCGGGAUGAAUGGACGAAGGGUGGAUGACGAAGGCCUUCGGGUCGUAAAAGUGUUUAAGGGGUGAGGAAUGUAAAAGAGUUUAACCCUUGACGAAUAGACGUGAACCGGAGAAAAAGCCCCGGGUAAAUCCGUG